UGGGGAAUAUUGCACAAUGGGCGAAAGCCUGAUGCAGCAACGCCGCGUGAGUGAUGAAGGCCUUCGGGUUGUAAAGCUCUGUCUUCUGGGACGAUAAUGACGGUACCAGAGGAGGAAGCCACGGCUAACUACGUGCCAGCAGCCGCGGUAAUACGUAGGUGGCAAGCGUUGUCCGGAUUUACUGGGCGUAAAGGAUGCGUAGGCGGAUACUUAAGUCAGAUGUGAAAUUCCCGGGCUUAACUUGGGAACUGCAUUUGAAACUGGGUAUCUAGAGUGUGGGAGAGGAAAGUGGAAUUCCUAGUGUAGCGGUGAAAUGCGUAGAGAUUAGGAAGAACACCAGUGGCGAAGGCGACUUUCUGGACCAUAACUGACGCUGAGGCAUGAAAGCGUGGGGAGCAAACA
Molecule: ribosomal RNA, 402 nt
Filed under: bacterium
Lineage: Bacteria
Also listed under: 1 other name
Description: partial 16S ribosomal RNA
Rfam family: Bacterial small subunit ribosomal RNA
Source: RNAcentral